Molecule: long non-coding RNA, 4355 nt
Organism: Dromaius novaehollandiae (emu)
Lineage: Eukaryota; Metazoa; Chordata; Aves; Casuariiformes; Dromaiidae
Exons: 4
Source: RefSeq, a predicted model, not a curated record
GCGGGCGACACCCCGGCGGCGGGGUGGGGGCGGGCAGGGCGGGCGGGCGGGAGGGCAAGUCCCCUCGGCGGAGAGGCCGGAGAGAUGUGGCACCUUAUAGCAUCCUGGUGCAGCCCUGAAGCUCCUGUCCUUGACCCCCACAUAGUAGGCAUUGACUUGCCAACCAGCUGUACCGAACACGGACGCAGCACCCGCAUCAGGAGAGAGAAAUACAGAUGCAGAAGCAGGACAUGGACAAAUGACAGAAGAUAAGGUAUUGCUCCGGCAAGCAGAACAUCCUGUCUUCAAGAUGGAGACUGCAUUAAGCACCAGACUAGAGGCAAGGCUGGACUGGUCCUCCCUGUUGAAACUGGUCAUCUGUACCACCCACUGAGAAGGUCAGUCCUCUUGUGACACUGGCAUCUUCAGAAGCUACCACAAUAAAAAAUGCAUAAGAUAACAAACCUGAAAAAGGGAGGGGCUUAAAAGGAUCCUUAGGGGAUUAAGGUGCUUAACAUCCAUUUAAAUUCAAUGGCAAAGAGGCCCUAAUUUCUUGAGGAUCUUUUGAGUGAUUUGAGGCUUAGGAGUGGGAGCUGUUUGGUUUUUGGCUGUGAAAUGUGUAUUUGUUGGGGGAGCAGUUAUGUUUCAAGACACUUGAUUCACAAUAAUGUGUAUCAUGGAGGAAGAGAAUUGCUGCAAUUUCAUUAAUUUUAAGUAGUAUCCUACUGCCCCACCUGAUACAACAGGUCAUUUUCUAAGACUAUAGAUAUCAUCAUUGUGGCUGUCUGCUUCUUCUUCAAAGCAUAAGCCAAAAGUGACAUACGCCUGAUGAGAUAACAUUUUCCUCAACAUACUUAGUUGUCUGCUCAACCAAAUUACAACCGAAUGGCAGGAAACAAUCAUAUGCUGUCAGUUUAGUAGAGUAUUUGCUAUUAUGUCUCAUCUGAACCUGAAUUUAAACUGACUUGAAGAGAACCACUCCCAUGUGUCUUGAAAUCUGGCUAAUGGCAUAUUAUCAUGGGCAAUGUAGAUUAUUUGGAGAAAUCUGUAGAGGCCACGUUUGAUUCAAUUUUAUUGAAAAUCGUCAGUAUCCGGGAGAGUAAAUUGACAUCAGUGAAACUCCCUGAUGUAGCUAAACUAGAAGCUACAAACUGCAGCCAGGGCAGAGAAAUCAUUUAUAGGGAAUAGCAGGAGGAUGGAUAGAACAUUCAAACUGGAAAAACUGAAACUGAUACGCAUAGGAAAAAGGGACACACAUUCAUCAGGUGGAAAAAUGUAAGGACGUGCAAUACUGAAAGAAACCUCAGGAGCAGCAGGAAGGAUUGCAGUGUCACACAGCAAGAAAACAAAGCUCUUUGGAGCAGUACAUACAAAGGUUGCCAAACCAGAAGAAAUACAACGGUGCUUUGGAAUCAUAGGAAAUUUGGCUUGAAGGGAUCUCAUAAAAUAUCCAAAUCCAUUCCUGUUUCUCAACACAGGAACAAUUGUAUCUAUCUAAUUGCCAAAUUCUGUUUUGUUAGCCUUUUCUUAAAAACCUCUCAUCAUGGAUUUUAUUCAACUUCCAUAGUGCUUCAUUGCCCUUAUCAUUGGAAACAUUUUCCUGAGGUCUGACUCCAAUCUCCCUUGCUGUUAUUUAAAUGCAAGAAUGCUGCGUUCAGCUCUGGACAACACACUCCCGGAAAGAUAUGGAUUGUAUCUGCAUUAGCAUUUUAGUUCAGAUCAGGAGUUUAUGUUUAAAGUCCCCAGAUUAUCCCUACUUAUUGCUCUGUUUCAGACAACAAAGCAGGCUCAGACUCACAGACUUUCAGACAAAAUUAAAUCAGAAGGUGUGUUCCAGGAGUGCAUCUGAUGAACUCCAGUCAUAGACAUCUGGUUUGCAGGACCAAUCUAGACCUAUUCCAAAAUAAAAACCUUAACACAUGCAUAAUUGUGGAUGUUAGGCCUUCAGCUUCAACAGCUUUACUCUAUAGCUCCUGUUUUACACUCACUCCACACUUGUACUGGGCCACACUCCUUGGUAGUUUAGAUAUAGCUCCUGGCAAAUUUUAAUCAAAAAGCUGUGAUGGGCUGGAAGAACGGAUUUAUUAAGGAAGAGCAAGCCAGGUACACAAACAGGGCACAAGGAGUUUUGUAGCCAUCAUUUACCCUGGUUCCCGUGACAUGAAACAGCCAUGGUCAUGCAGCUUGUGCAGCCCUUUCCUUUAUCUCAGACCACUCCAGACUGGUCAGCUCAAGGACAGAAAGGUGAAUUAUAAUGGCCAACAAUUAUACAGACUUUAAGAAUGGAAGAUUUUAAUUUGGUAUCUCAGAAUAUAACCAAGAAUGAGAUGUAAUGAAGAUAAGAAAAGAAAAACAGAUAAUUAAUUUCAGAAGACAAUGUGCUGGCAAGACAUCUUUUAAACAAUGGAGCAGUCUCCCAGACUCUUCUCAGUAAUGCUUCCUAUUUGCUUGGUACUUUUAUAACCAGAUUGGCAAAUGCUAGUAAACAGCCUGCAGGACAUUAUCAUGCUCUGGCAAGGGUUUGGGCUGGAUGAUCAUUUCCAUCUAGACUUCCUCUCAACCCAGACUAAAGUUUUGGAUGCAGGCUCUCUUUCUUGCUUUGCAUUUGCCAUGAAACCCAUGUGUAAGUUGGAGCUCCUAGGUACAACAUUUAGUAUCAACAAAUGCCAGUCAGAAGUCUUGGGAUCUGAGGCAAAUCUCUUCGGAGAUGACCAAUGCAUCUCCACUGAUUCUGAGGACCCUUGAAACAAACUUUUGAUACUCACAAAAAUGGACGCAUGUCUGUAAAUGUGUGAGAACACGGAGCCUCUCUCCCCUCUUGGUACUCCAAGAUAGCAAGCAGCAAUCCCUCAUUGGCCUCAAAAUUGUACAGCUCUGGUAACAGGUUACUUUGCCUGAGCUGGUGUUUCCUGCCAAACAGUGGCAUGCUGCACAGUGUGCUUGUGGAGUCAAGCUGACUUGUACCUUGUCGGUCUGGUAUGUGGUCAGCACAAGUCUGCAUCUUUCUGCACCUGCUCUUGCAGACAUGCCUUUAAUUAACCUCUGUGUGAAUAAGCAAAAAGCAAAAUAUCAAAACAACUUCUCCCUUUUUUUGGCUCGUUCCAUGUGCCUCAUCUCUUUAAUACCUGUCAUCAGACUGUCAGAACAUUGAGGCAUGAAUCACCUUAUUUUAAUGUCUUCUACAGAAUCAAGCACCUUGUCCCAAAAAAAUGCAACAGAGACCAAGAGAACUGCACUGAACUCACAGUGAGGGCUUAAAGAGUUUUGCAACUUCUUUGGGGCUGAAGUGUCCUGUCGACGGCUCUAUAAUGUUGAAACCCUCUCUAAAAAAUUGUUUUUUAAAAAAGUCCCAGUUUAGCCACCCAUAAAUUGAGUCAUCUAAGCCUUACAAGUCAUUUUGAAAAAUCACAGCCACAUUCUUAAACAGAGAGGCCACAUUUUCAUUUUAGCAAUAUGGAUAUAAAUUAGAAUCCCUCUUCCUCUCUGUGUCUAAAUCAAAGAGCAAUGCCUUUUAGAGGACUGUAUGUUGUACCCCUUCAGCGCACACACAGGCAUACUAAGACCAAGACCACCAAUAGCAAAUGCAGAAUUAUUUAUUGCCAUAUGAAAGAUCAGUACACACAACACAGAGCAAAUAGAAAAAAAAUUGGAAAAUGAGUUUUAAAAUUAAGAUUACAGAGCAGAAAUAACAGAAAAAGCACUUAAACAUAUUGCUGCCCCAAGCGGGUGAGAAUUUCAAUGGAAAAUAACAACCAAAUGUUUCUGUGCUGUGGUUGGCUUUGGAAAUCAAAUGAAAUUCAACUUAAACUCAAUUUAUUCUGAAGAUUUUGAUAUUAUAGAGGCACAUAUGCAUGUAGUAUUCAGUUAUUUCUCAAACACAAAACUCUUCUGGGCUCAAAUUUGUGUAACACCAAAAAAGGGUUUUAAAAAGAGAAAUCCCUCUAUUCUGUGAAACUGUUUCUGGGAACUUUCCUGGAAAUCCCAGCAAGACAAGCCAAAGAAAAUUAUCUAUGGGGAAUUGUGAUUGUUGCAGCAAAUAUGUGCUUAUACUCUGAUUCACUUAAUUAAGCCCUUCAACUGAAUAAUGGAAUAGAAAACAAGGGACAUACUGAAGAAUAGUAACCAAUCUAUAACAAGAUCAUACCAGUUAUUAACUAUACGUUACACAAAUGUAAACCCAAACCAGCAGCAAAGUCAGACUGCACUUAUGACUUUCAAUAAAUGCUUUAAAGCAGCAUUUGUCAAUGGUGUUAAUUUUUAAUUAUAUGACUGGUGACAACACUGUAUACCACCCAAGAUUUCAGCAUGCUGGGAAAAUCUAGUUUCUCUUUUGAAGUUAAAUUUCAAAAAACCAAUAAUUUCUGAAGGAUAUUAAU